AGAGUUUGAUCCUGGCUCAGAUUGAACGCUGGCGGCAGGCCUAACACAUGCAAGUCGAGCGGAUGAUGGGAGCUUGCUCCCGGAUUCAGCGGCGGACGGGUGAGUAAUGCCUAGGAAUCUGCCUGGUAGUGGGGGACAACGUUUCGAAAGGAACGCUAAUACCGCAUACGUCCUACGGGAGAAAGCAGGGGACCUUCGGGCCUUGCGCUAUCAGAUGAGCCUAGGUCGGAUU
Molecule: ribosomal RNA, 232 nt
Filed under: uncultured Pseudomonas sp.
Lineage: Bacteria; Pseudomonadati; Pseudomonadota; Gammaproteobacteria; Pseudomonadales; Pseudomonadaceae
Description: partial 16S ribosomal RNA
Rfam family: Bacterial small subunit ribosomal RNA
Source: RNAcentral